GAGCGACAUAUACCAAAUGGACAUUUAAACUCAUAAAUCGAUAAUAAACUUAUCCUGCUCCACAUGUGUCACCCGUCGUGUUGCUCAUUUUAUUACAAACCCGGUAAAUAGUCUAACUCGGUAUGUCACAUUCGUGAAAAGAGAACGGGAUUGAAGUUACGACAUAAGGAAAAUAUCUGAUAUAAUUUGUGAAACGGUUAUUCCAUAUUAAGUCUUUCUAUAUCAUCAAAUUAUUGACAAUUCAUGGUAUGUUAGACAGUAAUAAAACUUAUUUUUGGGAUAAG
Molecule: long non-coding RNA, 284 nt
Filed under: Mytilus galloprovincialis (Mediterranean mussel)
Lineage: Eukaryota; Metazoa; Mollusca; Bivalvia; Mytilida; Mytilidae
Source: RNAcentral